Molecule: ribosomal RNA, 521 nt
Filed under: uncultured bacterium
Lineage: Bacteria
Description: bacterial SSU rRNA
Rfam family: Bacterial small subunit ribosomal RNA
Source: RNAcentral
ACUCAAAUGAAUAGACGGGGGCCCGCACAAGCGGUGGAACAUGUGGUUUAAUUCGAUGAUACGCGAAAAACCUCACCAGGGCUUGACAUAUAGGCAGUAGUGAACCGAAAGGGGAACGAGCCGUCAAGUCCGGCAUCCUAUACAGGUGCUGCAUGGCUGUCGUCAGCUCGUGUCGUGAGAUGUUGGGUUAAGUCCCGCAACGAGCGCAACCAUUUCUCUAUGUUGCCACCACAUUCUGGUCUUCGGAUCAGGGUGUGAGCACUCUUAGAGUACUGCCUGGGAUAACCAGGAGGAAGGUGGAGAUGACGUCAAGUCAGUACGGCCCUUAUGCCCUGGGCUACACACGUGUUACAAUGGUUGGGACAAAGGGUUGCCAACCCGCGAGGGGGAGCUAAUCUCUAAAAACCAACCUCAGUUCAGAUUGGAGUCUGCAAUUCGACUCCAUGAAGCCGGAAUCGCUAGUAAUGGAAGAUCAGCACGCUUCCGUGAAUACGUUCCCGGGCCUUGUACACACCGCCCGU